CCUACGGUAUGCAGCAGUGGGGAAUAUUGCACAAUGGGGGGAACCCUGAUGCAGCGACGCCGCGUGGGUGAAGAAGCGCCUCGGCGCGUAAAGCCCUGUCAGCAGGGAAGCAAAUGACGGUACCUGAAGAAGAAGCCCCGGCUAACUACGUGACAGCAGCCGCUGUAAUACGUAGGGGGCACACGUUAUCAGGAUUUACUGUGGGUAACGGGGUCGUAGACGGCGAUGCAAGCCAGGAGUGAAAGCCCGGCGCCCAACCCCGGGACUGCUGUGGGAACUGCGUGGCUAGAGUGAAGGAGGGGCAGGCGGAAUUCCUGGUGUAGCGGUGAAAUGCGUAGAUAUCAGGAGGAACACCGGUGGCGAAGGCGGCCUGCUGGACUGCAACUGACGUUGAGGCCCGAAAGCGUGGGGAGCAAACAGGAUUAGAUACCCGGGUAGUC
Molecule: ribosomal RNA, 440 nt
Filed under: uncultured bacterium
Lineage: Bacteria
Description: partial 16S ribosomal RNA
Rfam family: Bacterial small subunit ribosomal RNA
Source: RNAcentral